CNGGGUUUGACAUGCACAGGACGNCNGCAGAGAUGUGGNUUCCCUUGUGGCCUGUGUGCAGGUGGUGCAUGGCUGUCNUCAGCUCGUGUCGUGAGAUGUUGGGUUAAGUCCCGCAACGAGCGCAACCCUUGUCUCAUGUUGCCAGCGCGUUAUGGCGGGGACUCGUGAGAGACUGCCGGGGUCAACUCGGAGGAAGGUGGGGAUGACGUCAAGUCAUCAUGCCCCUUAUGUCCAGGGCUUCACACAUGCUACAAUGGCCGGUACAAAGGGCUGCGAUGCCGUGAGGNGGAGCGAAUCCUUUCAAAACCGGUCUCAGUUCGNAUCGGGGUCUGCAACUCGACCCCGUGAAGUCGGAGUCGCUAGUAAUCGCAGAUCANCAACCUGCGGUGAAUA
This 393-nucleotide ribosomal RNA is filed under the name uncultured Actinomycetes bacterium. Its description in RNAcentral is "uncultured actinobacterium partial 16S ribosomal RNA". It matches the Rfam family "Bacterial small subunit ribosomal RNA", at positions 975 to 1368 of the family's 1533-position model. Lineage: Bacteria; Bacillati; Actinomycetota; Actinomycetes. The record is from RNAcentral.